CUCUCGGUAGCCAAGUUGGUUUAAGGCGCAAGACUGUAAUUAGAAAAACACGAAAUCUUGAGAUCGGGCGUUCGACUCGCCCCCGGGAGA
Naumovozyma dairenensis CBS 421 is the source of this 90-nucleotide transfer RNA. It matches the Rfam family "tRNA". From Rfam's summary of the family: Transfer RNA (tRNA) molecules are approximately 80 nucleotides in length. Their secondary structure includes four short double-helical elements and three loops (D, anti-codon, and T loops). Lineage: Eukaryota; Fungi; Ascomycota; Saccharomycetes; Saccharomycetales; Saccharomycetaceae. The record is from Rfam.